UUGCAUCAUGAUUUACAUUUGAGUGAGUGGCGAACUGGUGAGUAACACGUGGGAAACCUGCCCAGAAGCGGGGGAUAACACCUGGAAACAGAUGCUAAUACCGCAUAACAACUUGGACCGCAUGGUCCGAGCUUGAAAGAUGGCUUCGGCUAUCACUUUUGGAUGGUCCCGCGGCGUAUUAGCUAGAUGGUGGGGUAACGGCUCACCAUGGCAAUGAUACGUAGCCGACCUGAGAGGGUAAUCGGCCACAUUGGGACUGAGACACGGCCCAAACUCCUACGGGAGGCAGCAGUAGGGAAUCUUCCACAAUGGACGAAAGUCUGAUGGAGCAACGCCGCGUGAGUGAAGAAGGGUUUCGGCUCGUAAAACUCUGUUGUUAAAGAAGAACAUAUCUGAGAGUAACUGUUCAGGUAUUGACGGUAUUUAACCAGAAAGCCACGGCUAACUACGUGCCAGCAGCCGCGGUAAUACGUAGGUGGCAAGCGUUGUCCGGAUUUAUUGGGCGUAAAGCGAGCGCAGGCGGUUUUUUAAGUCUGAUGUGAAAGCCUUCGGCUCAACCGAAGAAGUGCAUCGGAAACUGGGAAACUUGAGUGCAGAAGAGGACAGUGGAACUCCAUGUGUAGCGGUGAAAUGCGUAGAUAUAUGGAAGAACACCAGUGGCGAAGGCGGCUGUCUGGUCUGUAACUGACGCUGAGGCUCGAAAGUAUGGGUAGCAAACAGGAUUAGAUACCCUGGUAGUCCAUACCGUAAACGAUGAAUGCUAAGUGUUGGAGGGUUUCCGCCCUUCAGUGCUGCAGCUAACGCAUUAAGCAUUCCGCCUGGGGAGUACGGCCGCAAGGCUGAAACUCAAAGGAAUUGACGGGGGCCCGCACAAGCGGUGGAGCAUGUGGUUUAAUUCGAAGCUACGCGAAGAACCUUACCAGGUCUUGACAUACUAUGCAAAUCUAAGAGAUUAGACGUUCCCUUCGGGGACAUGGAUACAGGUGGUGCAUGGUUGUCGUCAGCUCGUGUCGUGAGAUGUUGGGUUAAGUCCCGCAACGAGCGCAACCCUUAUUAUCAGUUGCCAGCAUUAAGUUGGGCACUCUGGUGAGACUGCCGGUGACAAACCGGAGGAAGGUGGGGAUGACGUCAAAUCAUCAUGCCCCUUAUGACCUGGGCUACACACGUGCUACAAUGGAUGGUACAACGAGUUGCGAACUCGCGAGAGUAAGCUAAUCUCUUAAAGCCAUUCUCAGUUCGGAUUGUAGGCUGCAACUCGCCUACAUGAAGUCGGAAUCGCUAGUAAUCGCGGAUCAGCAUGCCGCGGUGAAUACGUUCCCGGGCCUUGUACACACCGCCCGUCACACCAUGAGAGUUUGUAACACCCAAAGUCGGUGGGGUAACCUUUUAGGA
Molecule: ribosomal RNA, 1392 nt
Filed under: Lactiplantibacillus plantarum
Lineage: Bacteria; Bacillati; Bacillota; Bacilli; Lactobacillales; Lactobacillaceae
Description: bacterial SSU rRNA
Rfam family: Bacterial small subunit ribosomal RNA
Source: RNAcentral